RNAcentral lists this long non-coding RNA (249 nucleotides) under Vigna radiata. Its description in RNAcentral is "long non-coding RNA (VRAD_LNC011324)". Lineage: Eukaryota; Viridiplantae; Streptophyta; Magnoliopsida; Fabales; Fabaceae. The record is from RNAcentral.
AAAAAAAAAAGAUAUUGAGUGAUGAGAAACAAAGGAAAAUAUUAUGUUGCUUAAGGAGGAAGGAUAAUGAUAUUUUGACAACAUUUUUUUGACAAUAUUUUAACAUCAUUUAUGUGUCAUUCUGUGAUUGGUUCAAAAUUACUCUACAAUCAAUAAUAAUAAUCAUAAACACUACCAUGGACCAGUCACAGGAUGACACGUAGAUGAUGUUAAAAUGUUGUCAAAAAAAUAUUAUCAAAGUAUCAUUAU